AACGAUAUACAUGUAAGUCAACCCUGUGCCAUUGCAGACUGAAUCAAGUUAAAUACGUUACCAUUAGGAAGCUUUGAGCAUGUAAACAUUUAAGAGACCUAAGAAACAAAGUCAAAUGCUUUUAAGAUUAAUUCUGCAGUUGGGUUGUCAGAGACUGGAACAAUCUACGAAUCUCAGUGAAGACCUGUUCGAGUCCAAUAUUCAGCUAGCCUCAUGUAAAAUCUGGUAUUAUUUUUAUAUCAAGGCCAUAAGGUUCGUGGUCGCAGCUAAUAUAAAAAGCAAAGGGUUAUUAAGAUUGUGCCAGUAAGAUUAAGACCGGUCGCAAUUGUCACAAAUGUUGGCUUACUAAUUUGAGGAGAUACGCAAUAUACGCCCGUGAUAUAACUCUCUUUAGUUAAAGUUUUACUGCAAUUUUGCUAUUUUUCCCAGAAAGGAUUUUUUUGGUUGGUCACAGGUUUUCAUCUGCUGAUUGUGGAGAAGGCGUUGCCUAUUGGUUAACAAACCGGAUUUUUAAUCCGGAGGUUCCAGGUUCAAAUUCUCCCUGCCACUAGAUGGAUUUGUGUUCGGUGGACCGGAAUUCAACUCCUCCACGUCUUGCUAAUAGCCAACUGGUCAGCCUCCGACUAGCUGGGAUUUUUAGUUCUAGUUGCGAUAUGUCUCUGAAGUUAUAGUAUCCCCAAUUAGCACAGAAGCGCUAAAUACCAUGACACUUGAAUAAAGUAAUUUAUUUAUUUCUUUUUUUAUUGGUAACCAUCUAAUCGGCUUCUUGCAUUUCAAAUAAACUUGCAUUCAGUUCUUUCUUUCAUUCUUCAUUUCCGCAGUUGGUCGGUCGCUCCUUUGAUAAAACCCAAGAUCGACUUUCUGUCUUUCAGAUUCCAGACCACGCCACAAACGAUUGUCCAUUGACAUUAAUUCCCUGCCCUUAUGAACAGAUAGGCUGCAAAAGAAAGGUUCAACGACGAGAAAUGGAAUCGCAUCUUGAAUCUGACGUGAAACCCCAUCUUGACUUAGCUUGUGUGAAACUUGAAACACGGACUUUUAUUUGGAAGAUUGAACACUUUACUGAAGUUUUGAGGCAAGCAAAGGCCGAGGAAAAGAUAGCUAUAGAUAGUUCUCCAUUUUACACUGACAGAACAGAAAGUUAUGGGUACAAGUUAAAAAUAGCUGUUGAAGCUAAUGGUUCGGGGUCUGCUAAGAAUGCUUACCUGUCGGUGUUCAUUGUCGUUAUGAAAGAUAAACUCAGUGAGACCGUUUAAGAAUUGCUCUUCAGCCCGAAGGAGAGGAUUUAGGGGGUGAGGGUGAAUUAGGUGGCUAAUCACCCCCCUUUUGGAGCCCAUCUGAGCAUACGGACAGUAAACCACGGACAGCGGACAGUGGUCGUUAGUAUGAGAUG
This is a long non-coding RNA of Orbicella faveolata, 1393 nucleotides long. The record is from RefSeq and is a predicted model, not a curated record. Lineage: Eukaryota; Metazoa; Cnidaria; Anthozoa; Scleractinia; Merulinidae.